This 445-nucleotide ribosomal RNA is filed under the name uncultured bacterium. Its description in RNAcentral is "bacterial SSU rRNA". It matches the Rfam family "Bacterial small subunit ribosomal RNA", at positions 331 to 792 of the family's 1533-position model. The record is from RNAcentral.
CCAGACUCCUACGGGAGGCAGCAGUGGGGAAUAUUGCGCAAUGGGGGCAACCCUGACGCAGCAACGCCGCGUGAUUGAAGAAGGCCUUCGGGUUGUAAAGAUCUUUAAUCAGGGACGAAAAAUGACGGUACCUGAAGAAUAAGCUCCGGCUAACUACGUGCCAGCAGCCGCGGUAAUACGUAGGGAGCAAGCGUUAUCCGGAUUUACUGGGUGUAAAGGGAGCGUAGACGGUUCUGCAAGUCUGAAGUGAAAGCCCGUGGCUUAACCGCGGAACGGCUUUGGAAACUGUGGAACUGGAGUGCUGGAGAGGCAAGCGGAAUUCCUAGUGUAGCGGUGAAAUGCGUAGAUAUUAGGAGGAACACCAGUGGCGAAGGCGGCUUGCUGGACAGUAACUGACGUUGAGGCUCGAAAGCGUGGGGAGCAAACAGGAUUAGAUACCCCUGUA